Non-coding RNA from Taeniopygia guttata (zebra finch), 438 nucleotides. The record is from RefSeq and is a predicted model, not a curated record. NCBI's taxonomy places the organism in Eukaryota, Metazoa, Chordata, Aves, Passeriformes, Estrildidae.
UAAGAUAAUAAAGGCUUUCGACCGUCCACCACAUUGGUGUUAGCGUGUUGUCGUUAGCCCGAGUAGCCCGGACGAGGCUGAGCUGCCGUGCUGUCGCCUUGCAACCAGGUCGCACAUUGCCUCCCCUGAAGGCAACACUUCCCACAUGUGUUCCCAAAUUUCUGUCAAAUUUCUGACUAAAGCUCCCCACAGAACUGGAUUUCCUGCAGAAGUUGGUGUUGGCAAGCAAGCUCUUAUAGAAGUUACAUUCUGUAAUCUGCCAAAAUAUUGCACUAACUUUAAGACCACAUUUCUCUUGCUAGAGAUUAACAACAUAGUUUCUAUAAUUAUUAUGAAUAUGCAAUUAUUUAUUGUAUUUAUCUAGAGCCAAUAGAAAAUAAUAUCCUAUACCUAAAACAAUAGUAUUUAUAUAUUUAAAAAAAUCCACUGUGUUAAUCA